Molecule: transfer RNA, 73 nt
Filed under: Ailuropoda melanoleuca (giant panda)
Lineage: Eukaryota; Metazoa; Chordata; Mammalia; Carnivora; Ursidae
Rfam family: tRNA
About the family: Transfer RNA (tRNA) molecules are approximately 80 nucleotides in length. Their secondary structure includes four short double-helical elements and three loops (D, anti-codon, and T loops).
Source: Rfam by way of RNAcentral
GCCUGGCUGGCUCAGUCAGAAAAGCGUGUGACUCCCGAUCUCGGGGUCAUGGGUUCAAGUCCCACGUUGGGCA